AUUCAAAUCCUUUAACGAGGAUCUAGCGGAGGGCAAGUCUGGUGCCAGCAGCCGCGGUAAUUCCAGCUCCGCAGGUGUAUAUCUAUGCUGCUGCUUAAAAAGCUCGUAGUUGGAUCUGCGUGCUCGGAACUGGUUGGCUCACUGAGUUCAAACUGGUCUCCGGCGCUUUAUUGGCUGGUUUUCCCUUGAUGCUCUUAACCGGGUGUCUUGGGUGGCUAGCACGUUUACUUUAAAAAAAUUAGAGUGCUCAAUACAGGCGUAAAGCCUUGAAUAGUGGUGCAUGGAAUAAUAGAAUAGGACCUCGGCUCUAUUUUGUUGGUUUUCGGAACGCGUGGUAAUGAUUAAGAGGGACAGACGGGGGCAUUCGUAUUGCGACGUUAGAGGUGAAAUUCUUGGAUCGUCGCAAGACGGACGACUGCGAAAGCAUUUGCCAAGAAUGUUUUCAUUAAUCAAGAACGAAAGUUAGAGGUUCGAAGGCGAUCAGAUACCGCCCUAGUUCUAACCGUAAACGAUGCCAACUAGCGAUUCGCAGGCGUUAAACAACGACCUUGCGGGCAGCUUCCCGGAAACGAAAGUGUUCGGGUUCCGGGGGAAGUAUGGUUGCAAAGCUGAAACUUAAAGGAAUUGACGGAAGGGCACCACCAGGAGUGGAGCCUGCGGCUUAAUUUGACCCAACACGGGAAAACUCACCCGGCCCGGACACCGUAAGGAUUGACAGAUUGAGAGCUCUUUCUUGAUUCGGUGGGUGGUGGUGCAUGGCCGUUCUUAGUUGGUGGAGCGAUUUGUCUGGUUUAUUCCGAUAACGAACGAGACUCUGGCCUACUAAAUAGUGGGCGGAUUCUUUCUGUCCGCAACACUUCUUAGAGGGACAAGCGGUGUUCAGCCGCACGAGAUUGAGCAAUAACAGGUCUGUGAUGCCCUUAGAUGUCCGGGGCUGCACGCGCGCUACACUGAAGGAAUCAGCGUGCUUUCUGACCUUGCCCGAAAGGGCUGGGUAACCCGAUGAAAAUCCUUCGUGAUUGGGAUAGGGACUUGCAAUUAUUUCCCUUGAACGAGGAAUUCCCAGUAAGUGUGGGUCAUAAGCUCGCGUUGAUUACGUCCCUGCCCUUUGUACACACCGCCCGUCGCUGCCCGGAACUGAGCCGUGUCGAGAAGAACAGGGACCGUCGUUGAAGGGCCUUAACGGGCUUUUCUCUGAUAGAAACUGUUUUAAUCGCAGUGGCUUGAACCGGGCAA
This 1236-nucleotide ribosomal RNA is filed under the name metagenome. RNAcentral's name for it is "SSU rRNA". It matches the Rfam family "Eukaryotic small subunit ribosomal RNA", at positions 523 to 1785 of the family's 1831-position model. The record is from RNAcentral.